AAAUUUUGGCAACCUCUCAUACGAGGUUUUGCAUUUUCUUCAUACGCGAUUUUGUUCUUUGAACGACGUUAUGUACUUAUUUAAAAUACUUAA
This is a long non-coding RNA of Rhagoletis zephyria (snowberry fruit fly), 93 nucleotides long. RefSeq lists it as uncharacterized. NCBI's taxonomy places the organism in Eukaryota, Metazoa, Arthropoda, Insecta, Diptera, Tephritidae. The record is from RefSeq and is a predicted model, not a curated record.